CUUGGUGGACUCCGCUCUGGGUUGGAUGGACUGCUCCGUCCCGAGGCAUGCUGGGAGCUGUAGUUCUGUGGUGCCGGGCGGCCACAUGGGCUCCGCGGCGCGCGGCCGGUCUUUCCCCGAGCCGGGGCCGGGCUGUGCGCGCCGGGAGGCGCAGGUUGCCGCUGGCUGCGAGCGCGGUUGCCGGCGGGCAGAAGCAGCUCCCCGCCGCUAGGACCCCUGUGGGUUUUGUUGCCGAGCGAAGGUGGCGCACCGGGUAAACCGAGGAAUCUAUUACAGAGGGAUGCAGCUCUCUCGUUAUCACUUCUGCUGACUCCUGAAGCGAUCCUCUGCGCUGGUCCGAUAUCCCUGCCCGUCUGUGGCAAAAGAGUUUGCCCCCUCAGAUUGCAGAAGCAGCAUUGUGGAAUUUAGGUUUUGAAGAUGUCCCGGAUUUAAAGAUGAUGUGUAUUAAAUGAAGUAUGAGAAGAAACAGCUUCUUCCGACACUUGCGCUCCUUUUCUUCAGCUCGUGCAGAAGGCUGACAGCCUGUCUCACUCUCAUCAGUGCUAUCCCACCAGCUCCGUUAGGAGCUCAGCACCACGUUUGGCCUGUUCCGAUCUCCUCAUUUCUGUGCUGCAACACCACCAUCCAUAAGAAGUCAGGUAGGAUCUGAAGACC
Molecule: long non-coding RNA, 654 nt
Organism: Cygnus olor (mute swan)
Lineage: Eukaryota; Metazoa; Chordata; Aves; Anseriformes; Anatidae
Exons: 3
Source: RefSeq, a predicted model, not a curated record